AUGAUAUCAUUCAGGGAUAUGCUUGAAGUUUGCGGUCUGGUAGACUUGGGUUUUUCGGGUGUCCCUUUCACCUAUGACAAUAAGAGAAGUGGUGUGAAUAAUGUUAGGGUGAGGCUUGACAGAGCAUUGGCUACGAACGAAUGGAGGAAUCUAUUCUCUUUUGCCUCCGUGCACCAUAUUCUUAGCCCUUGUUCGGACCAUGUGGCGGUACUGCUCAAAGGCGAGGCGGAUGCCGGCCCGGCUGGGCCUAUACAGCGUCGGUACGAGAUCUUCUGGGAAAGGGACUCGACGUUGCCAGAGGUCAUCAAGAAUGCAUGGGAAUCUGUUGGAAACGUUCAAACAUUGGAGCAGCUUAGAGUGGCUCUAACCAAGACGAUGGUGUCUUUAGGUUCUUGGUGCAGGAAGUUCGAAAAAUGUAACAAAGGAAUUGGCUAG
Molecule: ribosomal RNA, 435 nt
Filed under: Triticum aestivum (bread wheat)
Lineage: Eukaryota; Viridiplantae; Streptophyta; Magnoliopsida; Poales; Poaceae
Description: partial small subunit ribosomal RNA
Source: RNAcentral